GCCUGGAUAGCUCAGUAGGUAGAGCUUCAGACUUUUAAUCCGAGGGUUCAGGGUUCAAGGCCCUAUUCGGGCG
Molecule: non-coding RNA, 73 nt
Organism: Vombatus ursinus (common wombat)
Lineage: Eukaryota; Metazoa; Chordata; Mammalia; Diprotodontia; Vombatidae
Source: the annotation of a RefSeq genome assembly